This 398-nucleotide long non-coding RNA is filed under the name Pan troglodytes (chimpanzee). RNAcentral describes it as "long non-coding RNA NONPTRT002976". The record is from RNAcentral. Lineage: Eukaryota; Metazoa; Chordata; Mammalia; Primates; Hominidae.
ACUGCAAAUACAUUCUUGAUUAGAAAUAUUUAAUAUAAAAUUUUUCCAAAAGAACAUCUAAGUUUGAUGCAAUUACAAUUAGAUUGCUCAAACAAGGUUUUUGUUUUUCUUUAUAUGUUUAAGUGAUUGAAUUAUCUGGAAGAAUAAAUGUUGGUUACUAGCUUAGAAAAUAUAUGAAAAAGAAGAAUAGUGAGACUGACUCGCCUCAUCAAAUAUCAGUAUAUACUAUAAAGCCACUGUAAUCAAAUCCACAUGGUACUGGGAUACGUAGACACAAAUAGUGGGUGGAAUAGAACAGUGGGACUCCAGGAACAGCUCUCAGAAUAAAUGGUAAUUUAAAGGGGACAGAUCUGUUUAACUCCACACUCCCAAUCACCCACAGGUAACUUUGCUUCCUC